AUUAUUUACAUUUCGAGUGGGAACAUAAAUAUCUUUAGAAAUAGACAAAACAAUAUGCCCCUUUUUAUUGUUCAGUCUAACUCACCUUCAUAAAAGUCAACGCAUUGAAAUAUCAAUCAAUCCAGCAAUUGCUUUUUGUUAUGUGCUGCAGUAUGGAUCCUCAGGGACUCCAGACCGUGUGAGCAACUAACAGGAAACAACACCAGAUGUGCUGUAUCAGCCAUUGAUUUUCGUCCCUGAUGAAUUCAGUAAAAGCAGUUUGAAAGCUCCUGCCUUAAAAACUCUGAAGCAGCCUGGGGUUUGGAUGUGGAUCAGGGAGUCACAACCACGCUGUAAAGCCAAACAGCUAACCUGCGACACUGCUGGGCACAGACUGAGCUGAAGUCACCGAGUAUACCAGCAGCUGCAGAUCCCACUGAGCAGCGCUGACGGGAUGGGAUGGAGCCCAGGCCACCUGCUGGCCUGAGAUGCAAGGUUCCCUCUGGCUCGCCGACUCCAAGAUCCCUUGCCACCUGUGCUCCUGCCGCCGUUCUCCGCCAUCUGAUAAGCACUCUCUGGGCCCUGACACUGACCUGAACUGGACCUGGGUUAAGCCCAAGUCACCCCGUCCUUCUGGGAAGGCUCUGUGGAGUCUCCCACAUUUCUCUCCAGCUGCCUUCACCUCUCCCUUGCUCCGUGGUCUUGAGGGCUCAGCCUUCCAGCCCCCAUUCAUUAAAGUUCAUGAUUUUCAAUCGCAAAGAAAUGGCUACUUUACCAGAAAAAGCAGUCAGUUUGCUUAGGUAUUUUUCCAGAGACAAAAUGGAAGUUAAAUGAAAGGAAUAAAGUAUCGCAUUCCACCUAAGCCAGUGGGUAGCUUUACUUGAAAAACUGCCCGAAUGUCCCUGUUUUGUCGUUGAGUGAACAGAGGAGCGGAUGUGAGCAUUUUUCAGCAGAGAUGUGCUGCUUUGCAGGGAACAGGCAAUACGGAUGCAUGUAAAAUUCUUGCUUGAGGAUUAAGAGUCCAAAUGUGUUUUAAGAACUGGCUAUGCAAAAUCUCAGAUAUAACUGAUAAACUGUUGUAAUCUGGUUGGCAUAUGGUCCUGCCUGUACCACACUUUUUCUUUCCCUAAAACACAAUUUGGCUUUCUACUUGUUGAACAAACAGAUAUGGCAAAUAAAAGAAGGACAAAUGUUAUUGAUUUUUUUUUCCUGAGA
RNAcentral lists this long non-coding RNA (1194 nucleotides) under Pan paniscus (pygmy chimpanzee). Its description in RNAcentral is "lncRNA (ENSPPAG00000045207.1)". Lineage: Eukaryota; Metazoa; Chordata; Mammalia; Primates; Hominidae. The record is from RNAcentral.